AUUGAACGCUGGCGGCAUGCCUUACACAUGCAAGUCGAACGGCAGCACGGGUGCUUGCACCUGGUGGCGAGUGGCGAACGGGUGAGUAAUACAUCGGAACAUGUCCUGUAGUGGGGGAUAGCCCUGCGAAAGCCGGAUUAAUACCGCAUACGAUCCACGGAUGAAAGCGGGGGACCUUCUGGCCUCGCGCUAUUGUGUUUGCCGAUGGCUGAUUAGCUUGUUGGUGGGGUAAAGGCCUACCAAGGCGACGAUCAGUAGCUGGUAUGAGAGGACGACCAGCCACACUGGGACUGAGACACGGCACAGACUCCGACGGGAGGCAGCAGUGGGGAAUAUUGGACAAUGGGCGAAAGCCUGAUCCAGCAAUGCCGCGUGUGUGAAGAAGGACUUCGGGUUGUAAAGCACUUUUGUCCGGAAAGAAAACAUUGACUAUAAUACAGUCGGGGGAUGACGGUACCGGAAGAAUAAGCACCGGCUAACUACGUG
This 486-nucleotide ribosomal RNA is filed under the name uncultured bacterium. Its description in RNAcentral is "partial 16S ribosomal RNA". It matches the Rfam family "Bacterial small subunit ribosomal RNA", at positions 30 to 507 of the family's 1533-position model. The record is from RNAcentral.